RNAcentral lists this ribosomal RNA (245 nucleotides) under uncultured bacterium. RNAcentral describes it as "partial 16S ribosomal RNA". It matches the Rfam family "Bacterial small subunit ribosomal RNA", at positions 524 to 768 of the family's 1533-position model. The record is from RNAcentral.
UACGGGGGGUGCUAGCGUUGUUCGGAAUCACUGGGCGUAAAGCGCGUGUAGGCGGGUGGCUAAGUCAGAUGUGAAAUCCCAUGGCUUAACCGUGGACGUGCAUUUGAAACUGGCCGCCUUGAGUGCGGAAGAGGGAAGGGGAAUUCCCGGUGUAGAGGUGAAAUUCGUAGAUAUCGGGAGGAAUACCAGUGGCGAAGGCGCCUUCCUGGGACGACACUGACGCUGAGACGCGAAAGCGUGGGGAG